Molecule: RNase P RNA, 351 nt
Filed under: Myxococcales bacterium
Lineage: Bacteria; Pseudomonadati; Myxococcota; Myxococcia; Myxococcales
Description: RNase P RNA component class A
Rfam family: Bacterial RNase P class A
About the family: Ribonuclease P (RNase P) is a ubiquitous endoribonuclease, found in archaea, bacteria and eukarya as well as chloroplasts and mitochondria. Its best characterised activity is the generation of mature 5'-ends of tRNAs by cleaving the 5'-leader elements of precursor-tRNAs.
Source: RNAcentral
GGAGAGGUCGAGGUGAUCGCCGGCGGGGGCUCGCAAGGGUCCUCGCGGGAGGAAAGUCCGAGCUUCACAGGGCAGGGUGCUGGUUAACGGCCAGUCGAGGUAACUCGCAGGACAGUGCAACAGAAAGCAAACCGCCGGCGGCAACGCCGGUAAGGGUGAAAGGGUGCGGUAAGAGCGCACCGCUCCACUGGUGACAGGGGAGGCACGGCAAACCCCACCCGAAGCAAGACCAGACAGGGGUCGUGCGGCCCGCACGAUGACUCCGGGUUGGUCGCUCGAGCCCACCAGCAAUGGUGGGCCUAGAUGAAUGAUCGCCACGACACAGAACUCGGCUUAUCGACCUCUCCGCCG